RNAcentral lists this microRNA (24 nucleotides) under Gallus gallus (chicken). Its description in RNAcentral is "gga-miR-1661". Lineage: Eukaryota; Metazoa; Chordata; Aves; Galliformes; Phasianidae. The record is from miRBase by way of RNAcentral.
UAGCAGAUGUUUAGGAAUGUGCCU